This 484-nucleotide ribosomal RNA is filed under the name Salmonella enterica. Its description in RNAcentral is "partial 23S ribosomal RNA". It matches the Rfam family "Bacterial large subunit ribosomal RNA", at positions 161 to 687 of the family's 2925-position model. The record is from RNAcentral. Lineage: Bacteria; Pseudomonadati; Pseudomonadota; Gammaproteobacteria; Enterobacterales; Enterobacteriaceae.
AAUCCAUAGGUUAAUGAGGCGAACCGGGGGAACUGAAACAUCUAAGUACCCCGAGGAAAAGAAAUCAACCGAGAUUCCCCCAGUAGCGGCGAGCGAACGGGGAGGAGCCCAGAGCCUGAAUCAGCAUGUGUGUUAGUGGAAGCGUCUGGAAAGGCGCGCGAUACAGGGUGACAGCCCCGUACACAAAAGCGCAUGUGCUGUGAGCUCGAUGAGUAGGGCGGGACACGUGGUAUCCUGUCUGAAUAUGGGGGGACCAUCCUCCAAGGCUAAAUACUCCUGACUGACCGAUAGUGAACCAGUACCGUGAGGGAAAGGCGAAAAGAACCCCGGCGAGGGGAGUGAAAAAGAACCUGAAACCGUGUACGUACAAGCAGUGGGAGCACCCUUUGGGUGUGACUGCGUACCUUUUGUAUAAUGGGUCAGCGACUUAUAUUCUGUAGCAAGGUUAACCGAAUAGGGGAGCCGGAGGGAAACCGAGUCUUAA